GUCGAGCGGGGAAAAGUAGCUUGCUACUUAACUUAGCGGCGGACGGGUGAKUWAUACUUAGGAAUCUGCCUAUUAGUGGGGGACAACAUUUCGAAAGGAAUGCUAAUACCGCAUACGUCCUACGGGAGAAAGCAGGGGAUCACUUGUGACCUUGCGCUAAUAGAUGAGCCUAAGUCGGAUUAGCUAGUUGGUGGGGUAAAGGCCUACCAAGGCGACGAUCUGUAGCGGGUCUGAGAGGAUGAUCCGCCACACUGGGACUGAGACACGGCCCAGACUCCUACGGGAGGCAGCAGUGGGGAAUAUUGGACAAUGGGGGGAACCCUGAUCCAGCCAUGCCGCGUGUGUGAAGAAGGCCUUUUGGUUGUAAAGCACUUUAAGCGAGGAGGAGGCUACUCUAGUUAAUACCUAGAGAUAGUGGACGUUACUCGCAGAAUAAGCACCGGCUAACUCUGUGCCAGCAGCCGCGGUAAUACAGAGGGUGCGAGCGUUAAUCGGAUUUACUGGGCGUAAAGCGUGCGUAGGUGGCCAAUUAAGUCAAAUGUGAAAUCCCCGAGCUUAACUUGGGAAUUGCAUUCGAUACUGGUUGGCUAGAGUAUGGGAGAGGAUGGUAGA
Molecule: ribosomal RNA, 612 nt
Filed under: Acinetobacter albensis
Lineage: Bacteria; Pseudomonadati; Pseudomonadota; Gammaproteobacteria; Moraxellales; Moraxellaceae
Description: bacterial SSU rRNA
Source: RNAcentral